This 474-nucleotide small RNA is filed under the name Pongo abelii (Sumatran orangutan). RNAcentral describes it as "processed transcript". The record is from RNAcentral. Lineage: Eukaryota; Metazoa; Chordata; Mammalia; Primates; Hominidae.
ACACAUGAAAAGAGAUGUAAAGAGGAAGGAGUUUCAGGAGGGUACUGGCCAGGUCAAAGGAGAGGGUGGAGGAAAAGAGCCACGAAAUAACCGGGAGACAAGCUUUCGGGGGCUUUUGACUGACUGGAUGUGGGAAUGUUGUGGAAGACUUCUGGCCUGCCAUUUCCUGAGAAUGGGACUGCUGAGAGAAGAGCUGGGAGGAGCACUGCAAAUUUCACUCUGGACACAUGAGUCAGAGGUUAACACAGAAAUCUGCCUCCUGGGCCAUGCCGCUUCUAAGGCCUGUUUCUUCUCAUGAGCCCCAGCACAAGACAGAUGGGCCAGUUCUCACAGUGGAUAACUUCCCCUGCCUGAGCAAGAGAUGGGAUAGUAUCUGGGAUCUAUCCAUCACCAGACUCUGAACUUAAUAAGGCAGCUGAAUGAAGGGAGGUAACGGACCCCUGAGAGGGGCGCUGAAGUCUGCAGUGGGGGGGG